UCCCUAUUUAGGCGAGUGUUCCUCUUAGUAUUUAAAGAAGAGCAAUUAAAUGAAUGUGCACUCAAGACAAGAGCCUCUUUGGAAGCCAGGCUACGUGGAGAGUGAGGAUGGCUUUACCAAAGUUGGCACAGUUUGCUGUUAUCCUUUCUGUUAUCUGCUACACUCUGGACAAGUCAGGAUUCAACUCGUUGGUCUUCACCUUCUUUGAGGAAUCAGUUGAUUCUAAAUCACCCAGCAUUUAUGCCAG
Cyprinodon tularosa is the source of this 247-nucleotide long non-coding RNA. RefSeq lists it as uncharacterized. The transcript has 3 exons. The record is from RefSeq and is a predicted model, not a curated record. Lineage: Eukaryota; Metazoa; Chordata; Actinopteri; Cyprinodontiformes; Cyprinodontidae.